Molecule: long non-coding RNA, 5410 nt
Filed under: Equus asinus (donkey)
Lineage: Eukaryota; Metazoa; Chordata; Mammalia; Perissodactyla; Equidae
Description: lncRNA (ENSEASG00005027358.1)
Source: RNAcentral
GGCUGGAAUUCAGAUUAAAAGAGGCCUGUUUACCUCCGGACUCCCUGGGACAGCCCCAAGGCUCAGAGCUGCGGCUUCUUCCUGAGGGAGAACAGGAUGCCUUUGUAAGGAGGGGAGAGGCUCCAAGAGGGUAAAGCUGUUGGGGACUGCUCCUAAAAAUCUAGUUUAUGAAUUGACUGGAUGAAACGCUACAUGGUAAACCAAUGAACACAUCUCACAUGCUGAAGUAUUUUUAAGAAGGCUGUCUGGGAAAUCAUGCCACUAUCUUCAGGAGGGGUCAGGAGUGACUUGAAGUGUGGGCAUCUCUUUAAAUCUGCACACCUUGGCUGGGCAUUGGGGACAUGUGCUGUAAGCUAUAAAGAAACAAAGUCCCCCGGGAAAUCGUGCUGGUCAUCCCUUCGAGUGGAGCCCAGAGGCGGGAAAACAUCUGAGCCAAACUUUCUCUUGACUCUGCUCAGAACUCACUGUGGGGUUCUGGGCAUUUCAUUUCCUCACAUGGGCAAUGUUGUGGGCCAUCUUGAUUCCUGGCCCUCCACCUCAAAGAGUAGCCCCCUGCAGUCGCUAAGUAAAGUGCGGAAAGCACACAGUGCAGUCAAUCCAGGCUGCGCUGGCAUCUCUUGGGGAGCCUGAAACCAUGCAUGCCGAUGCCUGAGCUCUAGCCCAAGAGUUCUGGUUAACCGGCCUGAGGAGGGGCCUGGACAUCUGUAUUUUGUAAAAGCCAUCCAGGUGAAUCUUAUAGAGCUAAGGGACCCGAGGUUGAGGACCACUACGCCAGAGUAGUAAGAUGAACACCAGCUCAGCAGCAGCAGCGCAGCCGCCACCACAGCAACCCCGAGAGCACCCGAAACAGUAACAGAGGAGCCAGCCUUGGCUGGGAGAGUGCCAGGAAAGGAAGAUGCUCGCUUGGAUCCAGGCUCCACCUGGCACUGGCUGGGACCACAGACUCACUCUUCAGUCAAUCAGCAGGCUAGCACACAUUUGUUCAGUGCGCGCUGUGUGCUGCACGGGGCAGCGGACGGGGCAUGCGGAGUAACAGGCCCCAGCCUCCCCCGGACACGCAGAGUCAGCAUGACAGAGGUGCGAACCGGAUACAGAGGGCACACAUUCCACCUGGGGUGUGACAGGAAAGACGAAAUAUUAUCGGGGAAGGAGCAGUGGAGGUUGUAGCGGCUGGAUAUCAUUUCAGAAGAACCUGUCAUUUUUCCAGGAGAAGAGACUGUAAGAGGAAAGUCCUGGAGGGUGCAUAGGAUGUUGCUCAUUUAGCGGGAUAAAAGCCAGUCUGCAUGAGAAAUCGCGCAUUCUGAGCACUGCAGGGGCAGUGCUGGAUUUGUUCAAGGCUGAGAAAGGAUGCCUUAUCCCGGCGAUGCGGUUCACGGCAGGGCGAGCGGCAGUGACGGGGUACUGAGCACACACCUGGGAGCCUGAGAUGGGCGACCCUCACUGGCCAACUGAUCCAUCCCACCAGACUGCAGCCUCAGUUUCUCAGCUUGUAAAAGUUAUAUGAUACUUGCUUUAGAAUAAACUCAUGGGAUGUAGAAUUCAAAAUGAUAAAUAUUUUUAUCAAGUUUCUCCCGACCCCCUAACUUUUAGGGAUUUACUUCUCCCCUUGAAAACCAGAAAUAGUGGGAGAAACAAGAGAUGUGACUCUAAUAUUACUUGUCUUUACCAACAAUGUUAAUUUCUCUCUAAGGAGCUGGGCAAGUUACAUUGUAUUUGAUUCCUGACUACUGUCUCUAAACCGAGGAUUCAAAUUGUUAGACUCAAUUCAUGACCUUGUUGGAAAUUUCCAGCAAACCCGCUGCUCAAUCACCUUAACUAGGAGAAAAUAUUUUAUGAUAUAGUGGAAACAAAUGAUAACAGUGUUGAGAGGGACAAGCUUAACACACAGAAUCCAGACUUCACACGUUCACGUGGGGGAGAUAGAAGUCGCGGAGUAGGCUGAUUUCUGAUGGCAACCUGAUUUAAUUUGCAAUAUGACUGCAUCAGUGGCUGCUCAAAAAGCUGUUUCCAACAUUUUGCAUCAAUAUAGCAGCUCUGGGAUCCUGAAGAAAUUUGUAUUUGCUGUCUAAGACCGGAAGGGUGGAGGAAUACAGGUACCCCUAAGCUAAGUAUAUUCGUGAUGAAAGACGAAUAGGUUCAUUACAGUGUUGUUUGUAAUAGGAAAAAUUGGAAACAAUUUAAAUAUGUAAAAUAAUUAAAUAAACAAUGAUACAUUCCUUUAUUCAGAUGCUGUAUGAUAUUUAAAAAUUGAGGAAGAUUGAGGUAUUGACUCAAUGAAAAAUGUCCAUGUGGUAGGAAAUGGGAAUAAUUACAGAAUGAUAUGCAAAUCAUAAUUCCGUCUUGGUAAGAACAAACAAGUCAAUCUAUGUAUACGCUGGAUGUUAGUCCAGGGACUCAGACACACAUACACCUCCUGCAGGCUGGCAGUGUGGGGCGUGCACACGUGCAGGGAUGGGUGAAUUACCAUGGGAGUGGAACAUGAAGAGGCAGGUGGUACACAUCUUCCCUUUCAGACCACUGGAGUAAUUAUAUAUGUAUUUUAAAACAAUAGACAUCUUAUACUUUUGUAAUAAAAAAGAAACAUUACCAACACAAUAGAUGUGUUUCAUCAAAUUAAAUGUGUUAUACUUUAAAACCAGCAUCAAGUUAAGACAUUUUACUUAAGGCUGCUGUGAAAACGUAUGUGUUUCUGAGUCAGGCCGGCGAGCCUAGCCGUUAGGACUUGAUGCUUUUAAGGUCUUUGUGCUCUUGCCCCAACUACUGUGUUCAUUUAAGAGAGUAUACGUCAGCCUUCUAUCUGAGCAGUCCAGCGAUUGAAGCAGUGUAUUUUAGCACUCCAGAAUAACUGUCAUUAGGCGAUCAGUAACUAGCAGCCUAUUACAUUCUAAGCAUGUUUCAAUGCCUGCUGUAAAUGUUUUGACAAUAGCCUCUGUGCACUAAUAACAUUGUGCAUAACAAAGAAUAACAGGUGCAGCCAAAAGGGAGGCAAGUUCCUCCAGGAUGUGUUUUCAAUCUAUCAUGUGUGCCUUGACUUUUCUAAAUGUGUGAAAAUAAUUAUUAUUGCCACUGUGGUGUAAUUGGUCUCUAUGGACAACCUAUGGCGGUGAAAACCUUUUGGAAUAAAGUGAGAAAUCUACCCGGAUGAGUUCAGAAGUCUGUCAAGAAGCACUCUAGUCAAAGCCUGCCCUUCUGGGGGGCCACCCUCUUUCAUCCUGAAGUGAUCCUUCCAUGGUCUUUGUGGGCACGUUAUUAGUGGGCAGGAAAAGGUAAGGAGUGUGAUGGGAAAACAAGAGGCAGGUUUUCCCUUUCAGUGAUCAUAGGCCAGCAAGCCCUCGGAUCGACCCCGUACCCACGCCGACGGAGGAGAAGUGGACACGUGCUCAGUUAGAGAAGAGAACGGCACCUGCAGUCACCUGGGGCCAGAGGAUGUGGCAGACGCAUUUCAGCAGGUCGAUUUUUUUUCCUUUUAAUGCAUAUAUUUGGAAAUCCAGUCUAAAGUGCAUUGAGCUUGGAAGAGAAGGGUGGAAUGCCUUUCCCAUCAUCAUAGUCAUUUGGAAAUCGAGGAAGGUGGAUUUUUCCUCCCAGAAUUGGUAGAGUUGCAAUUUCUGUUAGGAUAUGCAAACCAAACCCAUAUAUUUCAUGCUAUUCUCAUCAAGUGCAGUCAGCCUAAAAGUAGAAUUUAAAGAAAACUCAAGGCCGAUUCAAAAAGGUACAAUCGAAGUCCUUUUUAGCUAUCUCGGCACUGAAAUCAUGGACAGGAAGAAGAAUAUGUCUCUAUCAUUAAAUGGAAUAAAAAUUCUUGGAAAACUAAUUCGUUAAUAAUGUGAGUGGCUGCAGAGAAAAAAACUAAUCCAAAUUCAUUCACCCAACAUAAAAUAAAAUACACUGGUUCUCCUCCUCCAUUUUUGAGCUUGCUAGUUUGGGGAGGUUCAUUUUACAUAGUUUUAUGAACAUAAGAUAAAUGUAGCUUUCUGAUUAGAUACAAGCUUAUGGUUCUUUCUCUGUCUCUGUCUCUGUCUCUCUCCUUCUUGGUAUAAGUCACUUCAUCUCAGUUACUCUAACAAGAAUUCAUAGUCUUUGCAAACCCUAGUUUUUAAAUCUGUGUCUGAAACCAAGUAGAGUGCUGGCACUUUAAAAAUCCUCAUUGGCUGAAUCUUCUCCCCUAUGUAAUUCUGGUUCAUCUACACUGGAGAGUGCCAGGCAAGUUCUUCGACUCUAGCAUCUCCUUCAUGCAUUGAAUCCUCUGGUAUAAUAGACAUGAAUGCUCUAUUGCGUGGCUGUAAUUACUGGGUUUGCGGGCUCUGACUCCUUAGACUGUUUAAUAAAAUUUAAAAGUGUAACACAUUUUGCUGCAGAAAAUACCCCCAUAUGUUUCUCCUGGCUGUUGCGUUAUGAAUUCUUAGCUCUGACUUAGAUCACUCUCACUCUUCGGCACUCCUGUAUCAUUGAUGCAAGAAGAGUAGUGGAAAGUCAAACAAGAUAAAAUGACAGAUGAAGGAUUAAUGGUGACUGAGGACACAGCACUAUACAGAGUAAGGGUUCAAUUCAUAUUGAAUAGAUGGAAAGAAGUAUUCAGGGUUUUGGACUCCAGUCCUGUGGGGUGUGCACUUAAUUGUACUCGGUUUAGUGAGGCUUGAAGGGAAAUCAAGUUUCUGUUUCAGGGAGCUAGUUCAGGGGAACUAAUCAUUUCUGCAGAAAAGAGAGCAGAGACGCCUACUCUGACUGCAGGUGACAUCUCUCUGGACACGUUCUCAGAAACCCUGCACCAGGAAUUGAGUUGUCUUGGAUUCCGACGUGCCUGGUCUGACUCAUGGAAAAUAAUCUAUAAAUUCUACCUUGCUACUGAGCAUCGGAAGUUUGAUUCUAUGUGUCAAUUUCUAUAAGUAUUACUUCUAGAAACACAGAAAUGAAUUAUUUAAUACAUCUGUAGCACAAGUCCUUGGAGAGGAAGCAAGAAUUCAGCAGUUGAACCCAAUUAAAAUUCUUUCAGGAAGCAAAUUCAAACUCCCUUUUGGGUUCAUGAACAAACCACAGAAUAAAAUGUUUCGAAGGCUGACUCACAUGUGUUCUUUAGUGAUUGUAACAACAUUUCCUCUCUGCAGAUUUGAAAAAAUGACUUUCUUGGGUUUGAUCAGUGGAACCCUUGAGUCCUUACUGUGCCAGGCACCACAUUGGGUUCAGGGACACAAAGGUGGAUAAGAAGGUCUCUGCCUGUGAGCUUACCUAUAUGGCAGGGUUACUAUUAAUGAAUUUCAACAAUUUAAGAUAAAUCUAUUAACAAAAUACUAUGUUCCAGCACGUGAAUGCUUACAAAAUGAGGAUGACAUAGGCAUUUUCCCCAAGGUGUUUAAUAUCAAAAGAGAGAAACAGACUCCUGAAUAUCUGAUCACAGCACAAUAUAAUUCAUGCU